AGGAGCCUGAGGAGGGGGGUGUGGCCUCUGAUAUGAGUGCCAAAGAGGAAGAUGAGGAGAGGGGUGUGGCCUCACUCCAGGAAGCCAUGGAGCCAGAGAACAAGAGUGUCACUGCACAGAGAGCAGCGUCCCCGGUGCCCAGCUGUCAGUCUAUGAAGAGUGACCGGUCCAUGGAGCGUCCUGUUGGCUUUGCAGGUGGAGAGCCUGCUCCUUCUCUAAGUGUCACUGCACAGAGAGCAGCGUCCCUGGUGC
Megalops cyprinoides (Indo-Pacific tarpon) is the source of this 252-nucleotide long non-coding RNA. RefSeq lists it as uncharacterized. NCBI's taxonomy places the organism in Eukaryota, Metazoa, Chordata, Actinopteri, Elopiformes, Megalopidae. The transcript is spliced from 3 exons. The record is from RefSeq and is a predicted model, not a curated record.